Long non-coding RNA from Lynx canadensis (Canada lynx), 188 nucleotides. RefSeq lists it as uncharacterized. Lineage: Eukaryota; Metazoa; Chordata; Mammalia; Carnivora; Felidae. The transcript is spliced from 2 exons. The record is from RefSeq and is a predicted model, not a curated record.
CGUCUACAUAAAACAAAGGAGAAAAUCCAUAUGCCAACUGCUUUACCACCUCACCCCAAAAGUGUGUUAAAAUGUCAGGUUUUUACCAAUCUAAUGGGUGUUGCUUCAGAGAGUGGAUUUAAAAAAAAAAAAAAACAGAAUAAUUUCUUGGUUGUUUUUAGUUUCAAAACAUGAAUCACUGGAAAAAA